RNAcentral lists this ribosomal RNA (252 nucleotides) under uncultured bacterium. RNAcentral's name for it is "partial 16S ribosomal RNA". It matches the Rfam family "Bacterial small subunit ribosomal RNA", at positions 524 to 776 of the family's 1533-position model. The record is from RNAcentral.
UACGGGAGGGGCAAGCGUUAUCCGGCAUAACUGGGCGUAAAGAGUCCGUAGACUGUAAAAUAAGUUGCUUGUUAAAAUUUAAAGCCUAACUUUGAAAUAGCUUGUAAUACUGUUUUACUUGAGUUUUAUACAGAAGAGUAGAAUUUUAUACGAAAGGGUAAAAUCUAAAAAUAUAUAAAGGAAUACCAGUAGCGAAGGCGACUCUUUGGUAAAAACUGACGUUGAGGGACGAAAGUAUGGGUAGCAAACAGG